This is a long non-coding RNA of Pocillopora damicornis (cauliflower coral), 1541 nucleotides long. The record is from RefSeq and is a predicted model, not a curated record. NCBI's taxonomy places the organism in Eukaryota, Metazoa, Cnidaria, Anthozoa, Scleractinia, Pocilloporidae.
UGAUUACUAAUCCAAUAAGGCAUAUCUCCAAUCUUGUGAUGUGUAUUUUGCUCAACCCAUUUUCCAGUAUUCAUCUGGAACAGUAGUAGUUUUGUCAUUUUUUGAAUCACAGUUUGAUGUAAGGUCAGCAAGACACAUCCAUUUUUCUCUCUCACCAGUUUGUCUCUCAUUUACAUCAUCUUCAUUUAAAAUAGUCUGUUUAAUGUGUUGUGAAAUGAAAUCUAGCUGAAUAGACCAAUUUGGAACGAGUAUUUUUGCUUCAGUUUUCUUUACAAAAGAAUGCUACUCCUGAAUGUAAACAGAAUCAGACCCAUCUUGGUCUCCCCAAGAAUUGUUCAUGAAAGUAUGCCAAGGUUUAUGCUUCAGUAACUGGUUUUUACAGAACAAAUCAUAUGAAGGUCUUUUUGGAUUUGAUGGAUAACUUGGAGGCAUAUUUGGCAAUUUACUCUAAGCAAGAAUGGUAGUCUAUAAUGACCUGUAUGUUGCAGUUUGCUCUCCAACCUUGUAACUGGAAGCGCUGAUGAUUACUGAGAUGAGUAUCAUUUCGUUUUGUGAGUUCUUUUACCGUGUGUUUCAUUGUUUCAUCUUUAGUGUGAAUUUCUUUAAAUUCUAAAUGAGUUUUUUCACAGCAAUCUUUUGGAAAGCCAAAUCUACAAGAGUAUGUGUCACUCUGUUGUUUCUUAUGAGUACAAUAAGCAGUUGAACAUUGUGUAUGCCUUUGAAUUAAAUUUAGAAAGUUUUUAUAAUCUUCAUCCAGUUCUUCCUGUUAGACAUCUUCAUGAUGCUUUUUGCAUAGAGGAAGUGUUGGCUUUAUCCAAUCAGUAUGAUCAGGAUUAUGAGGAUGCUGGGUUGACAUAAGCUCUGUAGAGGUGCUACUCAGUGCUAUUGUACUGUAAGGGAAGAACUGCUGUCCUGUAAGCGUGAAGUUUUACCUUGGUUGGUGUUAAUUUCUGUGGUCUCAUCAGCACCCUUAUCAUUCUGCUGGUAUCCUUGCUGUUGGUAGCAAUCUGGUCUGAGAAGUUGAGUCCGCUGUCCAGUGUUGUUCCAAGGAGCUCUAGGUUCUGCAUGGAGUAUAGUUUUAUUAUGAAUUUCCACUUUGAUUGCUAUCUCUUGACAUUACCAUUACUUGGUAUUUUCUGAGGUUGGCUUGAAGAUGGUUGACCCUAUAUCAAGUAGCAGUAGUUUUGCUGUUUUUACCUGGCUCUUGUACUGUAGGUUAAGCAUUGAACAGAGUCCUUGCCAAUUGAGAGGGUGACUAUUGAGGAAAUUUUAACUUCUGCAAUAGGUGACAAUGAUAUCGUGAUAGUAUUGUGAUAGUGGAGGUAGCCUUGCAGAAGUAUUGCAAUAGUUCUGAUAUUUUAUAUUUAAAACAAAUACUAAAAGAAUUAGAAAAACUAAGAAGUAAGAAUUAGUUGUCAUAUAACGUACUGUAUGACAACUAACUCUUCUUAGUUAUCCUUAUUCGGAUACUGUGAAACACAAUGCAGUGGAAUUUAAUCCGUUUAUUGAGAAACUAAAUACAAUAAAAUGUUUAAAAGACA